GAUGAACGCUGGCGGCGUGCCUAACACAUGCAAGUCGAGCGAACAGACGAGGCGCUUGCUCCUCGGACGUUAGCGGCGGACGGGUGAGUAACACGUGGAUAACCCACCUAUAAGUCUGGGAUCACUUGGAGAAACCGGAGCUAAUAGCGGGUAAGAUAUUGAACCGCAUGGGUCAAUAGUGAAAGACGGUUGUGCUGUCACUUAUAGCUGGAUACGCGCCGCAUUAGGUAGUUGGUAAGGUAACGGCCUACCAAGGCAACGAGGCGUAGCCGACCGGAUAGGGUGGUCGGCCACCCUGGAACGUGAACAGGGUCCAGGCUCCUGCGGUAGGCAGCAGUAGGGUAUCUUCCGCAAUAGGCGAGAACCUUACGGAGCGACGCCGAGUGAGAGAUAGAGGUCUUCGGAUCGUAAUACUCUGUUAUUAGGGGAAAACAGAUGUGUACGUAGCUAUGCACGUCUUGACGGUACCUAAUCAGAAAGCCCCGGCUAACUACGUG
This 497-nucleotide ribosomal RNA is filed under the name uncultured bacterium. RNAcentral describes it as "partial 16S ribosomal RNA". It matches the Rfam family "Bacterial small subunit ribosomal RNA", at positions 28 to 507 of the family's 1533-position model. The record is from RNAcentral.